This 253-nucleotide ribosomal RNA is filed under the name uncultured bacterium. Its description in RNAcentral is "partial 16S ribosomal RNA". It matches the Rfam family "Bacterial small subunit ribosomal RNA", at positions 524 to 776 of the family's 1533-position model. The record is from RNAcentral.
UACGGGGGGGGUAAGCGUUGUUCGGAAUUACUGGGCGUAAAGGGCUCGUAGGCGGUCAACUAAGUCAUACGUGAAAUCCCUCAGCUUAACUGGGGAACUGCGUGUGAUACUGGAUGGCUUGGAUUUGGGAGAGGGAUGCGGAAUUCCAGGUGUAGCGGUGAAAUGCGUAGAUAUCUGGAGGAACACCGGUGGCGAAGGCGGCAUCCUGGACCAAUAUUGACGCUGAGGAGCGAAAGCCAGGGGAGCAAACGGG